This 70-nucleotide transfer RNA is filed under the name Paretroplus maculatus. RNAcentral's name for it is "tRNA-Pro". It matches the Rfam family "tRNA". Rfam says of the family: Transfer RNA (tRNA) molecules are approximately 80 nucleotides in length. Their secondary structure includes four short double-helical elements and three loops (D, anti-codon, and T loops). Further hydrogen bonds mediate the characteristic L-shaped molecular structure. tRNAs have two regions of fundamental functional importance: the anti-codon, which is responsible for specific mRNA codon recognition, and the 3' end, to which the tRNAs corresponding amino acid is attached (by aminoacyl-tRNA synthetases). tRNAs cope with the degeneracy of the genetic code in two manners: having more than one tRNA (with a specific anti-codon) for a particular amino acid; and 'wobble' base-pairing, i.e. permitting non-standard base-pairing at the 3rd anti-codon position. Lineage: Eukaryota; Metazoa; Chordata; Actinopteri; Cichliformes; Cichlidae. The record is from RNAcentral.
CAAGGAGUAGUUUAGUUUAGAAUUUUAGCUUUGGGAGCUAGAGGCGGGGGUUAAAAUCCCCUUUCCUUGA